GUCUACGGCCAUACCACCCUGAAUGCGCCCGAUCUCAUCUGAUCUCUGAAGCUAAGCAGGGUCGGGCCUGGCUAGUACUUGGAAGGGAGAAAAGGAAAGAGUGAGCUGCUGGUU
Ribosomal RNA from Fukomys damarensis (Damara mole-rat), 114 nucleotides. The record is from Ensembl. Lineage: Eukaryota; Metazoa; Chordata; Mammalia; Rodentia; Bathyergidae.